ACGAACGCUGGCGGCGGGCUUAACACAUGCAAGUCGAACGGAAAGGCCCUGCUUUUGUGGGGUUCUCGAGUGGCGAACGGGGGAGUAACACGUGAGUAACCUGCCCUUGACUUUGGGAUAACUUCAGGAAACUGGGGCUAAUACCGGAUAGGAGCUCCUGCUGCAUGGUGGGGGUUGGAAAGUUUCGGCGGGUGGGGAUGGACUCGCGGCGUAUCAGCUUGUUGGUGGGGCAGUGGCUUACCAAGGCGUUGACGGGUAGCGGGCCUGGGAGGGUGACCGGCCACAUUGGGACUGCGAUACGGCCCAGACUCCUACGGGAGGCAGCAGUGGGGAAUAUUGCCCAAUGGGCGGAAGCCUGAUGCAGCAACGCCGCGUGCGGGAUGACGGCCUUCGGGUUGUCAACCGCUUUCGCCUGUGACGAAGCGUGAGUGACGGUAAUGGGUAAAGAAGCACCGGCUAACUACGUG
RNAcentral lists this ribosomal RNA (467 nucleotides) under uncultured bacterium. RNAcentral's name for it is "partial 16S ribosomal RNA". It matches the Rfam family "Bacterial small subunit ribosomal RNA", at positions 29 to 507 of the family's 1533-position model. The record is from RNAcentral.